AGAGAUUAAAUAUCCAGCACGCAACCGCGCUGUUGCCAGAUUUACAUAUUUUCUAUAAGCGGGAAUUUUAAAAUCUCGAAUGCGAGUUGGUUUAAAAUUUGACAGUUGUGUUUUCUCGAAUCGGAAUCUUAACCUUACUUUUGUGAUUAUUUAUUUACAAAUAUGUAAAUAAAUUCAAACAAGUAUUGUAUGUACCUACUGUGUUAUAAUUUAAAACUCUUAAUUAUGUUAGUCUUUAAAAAAAAUGAAGCCCACAAAAAUACACUUGUUUACAGUGCAAAUGAUUUUUUAAUGGAAAUAGGGAUUUAGGAUUUCAUUUGCAGGAAAAACAUGGGCAACCUACCCAGUUCGUAAAAUUGCAAUUCAAAAACUCUUUAGAUUUUACUGUCUGGAUGGCACAGGAAGAGACACAAAAUAAUAUUCAGUACUGCAGUCACAGGAGUACAUAGAGUACGUAGAGAUAUAAGAAAACAGCUGUUCAACAUCACCUGACACCGUUUAGUUUUUAGAAAAUGAAAAGUCUUUAGGUUGAAUGCGAUCUGCAGUAUCUUGCAUUGCUACAUAAUGAAUGUGUUUAUAUAUGGUAUUUUUUAUUGAAUAAUCUAUACAGGAACAACUAAAUGAAUGUAUACAUAUAUUGCAGACAUUGCAUUUAGUUUUUUAGAGCAGCAAGUUUUUUUGUGUUUCAACAAGGUAUUCAGUUUUUUUUUUCUUUUAGUAUAUACACAUUAUUAUCUUGUAAAAUAGCAAGCUAAUACAGUUCGGUAUCUAGACGUUAUGGAGCAUUCAACAGGUUUACCUUUUUUAAGCUUUAUAACCCUUUCAACAGUUUUAUUCCUUAAAAACAAUAACAACUGAUUUUCAAUGGUCAUAUUAUUGGUAUUUUAAUUCCAUAAUCCUUCCUAUAACAAUAGGUGCAUUGUUGGAAGUUAUUACAGUAGUUCUGCUGGAAAUACUUACCAAAAUUGUAUGUAUCUGCAUCAUUUAGAAUUUUACCCAAACACCUAUUAAUACUCUAUCUGAAUCUAACAUGUAUUGCAGCUCUUUCAAUGUCUUGUAUACAUAGGAUUUUUUCAGAAUCAGAUAUUUCAUUAAGAUUUACUUGCCAUGCCUUGUCUAUGUACCAGGGACAUAACAGUCUAUUAGGAACAGAACCCAUUACAUUCAGGCAUUGUAAAAAGUGUUAGUUAUGUCUGAUAUGAAAACAUUUGACUAUAUAAUACCAGCACACUCAUGUAUUUUUUCAAAAAAAGUUGGUAAAUAAAAGUAUUUUUUAUGAGCCCACGAGUUCCAUUAGUUGCGAUAAGCGAUUUACCAAACUUAAUUAAUAUUUCCUUUUGCACAGUAUUCAUGGAAACACAUAAGACAAAAAUCAUUAUUGUUUAAUUCGGGAGGAUUAUCAAUAAUUGAAUCGUUUAUUUCAGAAAGGGGUCAAGUCACAAGUAUCCACUUUUGAGAAAAUAAAGUUUACACACUGUUUACAUUCAACAAACAAUCACAUUAUAUAAAAUAAAAAUUCUACCUAGCAACCUGGAGUAUUUGUUAAAAAAUGUUGUAUUUUUUAAAAAUGUAUCUUGUUAAAUUGUU
RNAcentral lists this long non-coding RNA (1587 nucleotides) under Diabrotica virgifera virgifera (western corn rootworm). Its description in RNAcentral is "uncharacterized LOC126882088". Lineage: Eukaryota; Metazoa; Arthropoda; Insecta; Coleoptera; Chrysomelidae. The record is from RNAcentral.